GUACGACCCGCUGGACAGAGAGUGAAAACCCGAUCUCAGGACCAAGGAGAUGUCUAGGAUAUGAGCCUGGACUCUGUUACACCGCUCAUUGGGAGUCACAGCCUUACAACGUGCCAAAGACUUCACUGAUGCAACUACUCUCUCUCCUCCGAGUGCAGCUUCCUAAACUUCUGGCUAUUCCGUGACUGGAGCAUGAGGCAGAGUUAUCAUCGUGAGUGUUCUAUUCCAGAGUUUCUUUAUUCUUCUAUGUUCGAUGUGAACAUGAUCGGUUGUGUGUGUGUGUGUGUGUGUGUGUGUGUGUGUAAGAAAUCUAAUGAUAAUGAAUGUGCCUUAAGUGAAAAGACUGAUUUUCGUGGUGAUCGCAAUUAGGAAAGCAUAAGAUAGAAAUGGCAGAGCUUCACUUUAAUCUAUCGGCCAUACGGCUGACCUGCCCCAACUUAUCACAAAGAAAGAUCAACGAUGUUUAAAGAGAUAAGACUGUCUGUCAGUGUGCACGUGGAUAAAAGUAAACAAGCACCUCAAGUGGUCAAAUACUUAAUUAGAACUGUGUGUGUGUGUAUAUAUUUAUACACACAUACACACAUACACACACACACACAAAUAAAUAUGUAUUCACAUAUUGGUAGAUACACGUGACACUGAAUAUCUGUACAAGUUGUCUACCUCUUGUAGUGUUACCUUAGUGCUGAGAGGGGAUUGGCCAGUUGUUGCUUUAUAUACCCCAAACAUACCACUAUCCUCUCUUACCCAGGGUUUCACUGUAGCAUAUAUCCAAUUAAUACUUCAAGUAAUUAUGAAAUGUACAAAGGUGCGAUAAUCUGGAUCCCUUUCAGUCCAGUGACAGAAAUGUAUCAAUGUCAUUGUUAAAACCUUUGCAUUCAAUGUGACAGAUACUUUACAUGUUUGUGUAGAAAACAAGGACUAUAGAUAUCUCCAUCUCAUCACAGUUUAGUACAACAACCUACUUCUCUAGGUUCUAGGAGCUAAAACAUAGUAUCUGGCACUGACUUGGUUAAAAUAAAAAUCAACAGUUUAGUUUUGCCAAGCAUCAUAAUUGAUGGCCUUUAAUGUUGAUGUUUUGAGCGUAGAGCGUAAAACACAUAUAUCCUUUUAUUUCUAGACCUCUUUUUAUUGAAUUCAUAAAGCAUAUCACGUUUCAAGCCAUAGAUACUGGCUGGAAUAGACCUGUCUCUGGGGUUUACAUUUAGUGAUAGCUGGAAAGCAGUCAGUGAUAGUAGGGCUGAUACCUUGCUAUGACUCUCCUACCCCCUUUGUAUUCCUGUCAGCUGGGAGGAAGUGUACACUGGAUUACAGAGCACUGUGUUAUCUCCAACCCAGGGGUUGAAAUGAUUUCACAAACAUGCAUACAUAUGGAAAUCAGGAGAAGCGUAUUGCUACUGCAUAUAGAAAAACAAAUACAAAUCAAGUAUGACAUUUUCAUUUUUGAAUCUCUUAAAACACAAACAUGAAUUCUCAUAUUUUUUUCUGUAUUUGUGUUUUGGCUUCACAGCUUGAUUAAUACAGAAAGCGAGACCUGUAGCCGCCUGUUUUC
This 1552-nucleotide long non-coding RNA is filed under the name Pelobates cultripes (western spadefoot toad). Lineage: Eukaryota; Metazoa; Chordata; Amphibia; Anura; Pelobatidae. The record is from RNAcentral.